UAGAGUUUGAUCCUGGCUCAGAUUGAACGCUGGCGGCAGGCCUAACACAUGCAAGUCGAACGGUAACAUUUCUAGCUUGCUAGAAGAAGACGAGUGGCGGACGGGUGAGUAAUGCUUGGGAACUUGCCUUUGCGAGGGGGAUAACAGUUGGAAACGACUGCUAAUACCGCAUAAUGUCUUCGGACCAAACGGGGCUUAGGCUCCGGCGGAAAGAGAGGCCCAAGUGAGAUUAGCUAGUUGGUAAGGUAACGGCUUACCAAGGCGACGAUCUCUAGCUGUUCUGAGAGGAAAGAUCAGCCACACUGGGACUGAGACACGGCCCAGACUCCUACGGGAGGCAGCAGUGGGGAAUAUUGCACAAUGGGGGAAACCCUGAUGCAGCCAUGCCGCGUGUGUGAAGAAGGCCUUCGGGUUGUAAAGCACUUUCAGUUGUGAGGAAAAGUUAGUAGUUAAUACCUGCUAGCCGUGACGUUAACAACAGAAGAAGCACCGGCUAACUCCGUGCCAGCAGCCGCGGUAAUACGGAGGGUGCGAGCGUUAAUCGGAAUUACUGGGCGUAAAGCGCACGCAGGCGGUUUGUUAAGCUAGAUGUGAAAGCCCCGGGCUCAACCUGGGAUGGUCAUUUAGAACUGGCAGACUAGAGUCUUGGAGAGGGGAGUGGAAUUCCAGGUGUAGCGGUGAAAUGCGUAGAUAUCUGGAGGAACAUCAGUGGCGAAGGCGACUCCCUGGCCAAAGACUGACGCUCAUGUGCGAAAGUGUGGGUAGCGAACAGGAUUAGAUACCCUGGUAGUCCACACCGUAAACGCUGUCUACUAGCUGUGUGUGCCUUUAAGGCGUGCGUAGCGAAGCUAACGCGCUAAGUAGACCGC
Molecule: ribosomal RNA, 869 nt
Filed under: Alteromonas sp.
Lineage: Bacteria; Pseudomonadati; Pseudomonadota; Gammaproteobacteria; Alteromonadales; Alteromonadaceae
Description: bacterial SSU rRNA
Rfam family: Bacterial small subunit ribosomal RNA
Source: RNAcentral